AUGCUUUGCAAGGACAGCACGCAAGGGGCCGUUUGCACAGGGCUCUUUGCAUGGGGCAGCACGCACAAGGCUGUUGCACGGGGCUGUUGCACAGGACUACUUUGCACAGGGCUCUAUGCACAGGGCCAUCAGUACAGAAUGCUUUGCAAGGGCAGCAUGCACGGGGCUGUUUGCACAUGGGACCGUUUGCACGGGGCCUUUUGCACAAAGCCCUUUGCACAGGACUCUUUGCACAAAGCAGAGCAGUUUGCACAAGAGCUCUUUGCACAGGACCUUUUACACGGGGCUCUUUGCACAUGCAGCACACCCGGUGCAGUAUCUGCAGUUAGUUUGCACAGUGCCGUGUCAUUGCACGUUGCACAUUGCAUGCUGCACGUUGCACAUUGUUGCACGCUGUGUGUUGCAUGCAGUGCAACCCCAACGUUGCAUGUUGCACGUUGCAUGCUGUGUUGCACAACAUGCAAUCCCAACGUUGCACAUUGUUGCACGCAGUGUUGCACGCUGUGCAAUCACACCAUUGCAUGUUGUUGCAUGCUGUGCUGCACGCCAUGCAAUCCCAACAUUGCACAUUGCAAGCAGUGUGUUGCGUGCUGUGCAACCCCAACACUGCAGGUUGCAUGUUGCACGCAGUGCUGCAAGCUGUGCAAUCCCAACAUUGCAGGUUGCACAUUGCACGCUGUGUUGCAUGCUGUGCAAUCACAGCAUUGCAGGUUGUUGCAUGCAGUGCUGCAAGCCGUGGAACCCCAACACUGCAGGCUGCACAUUGGAAGCAGCGUCGCAUGCCAUGCAACCCCAACAUUGCACAUAGCAGGUUGUUGCAUGCACUGUUGCAGUCCAUGCAAUCCCAACAUGGCAGGUUGCACGCAGUGUUGCAUGCCGUGCAACCCCAACGUUGCAGGUUGCACGCUGUGUUGCUAUCACAACGGUGCAUGUUGCAUGCCGUGUGUUGCACACCACGCAACCCCAACGUUGCAGGCUGCUGCACACUGUGUUGCAUGCCGUGCAAUCCCAAUGUUGCAUGCUGCAUGCUGUGUUUUGCACGCUGUGUUUUACACGCUGUGUUUGCAAGCUGUGUUUUACAUGCUGUGUUUUGCACGCUGUGUUUGCACGCUGUGUUUUGCACACUGUGUUUUGCACACUGUGUGUUGCACGCUGUGUUUUGCACGCUGUGUUUUGCAUGCCAUGUUUUGCACGCUGUGUGUUUGCACACUGUGUUUUGCACGCUGUGUUUUGCACGCUGUGUGUUGCACUCUGUGUUUGCACGCUGUGUUUUGCACGCUCUGUUUUAUCACCCCCUGUCCGUGUUCCUGCAGUUGCACACAAGGUCGUUUCCUGUUGCUCAAGGACUUCCUGCCCGGGAACAUCCCGGCCCCACAAACAACCCCGCCCCAUAGUGACCCUAUAGCCACCCCAUAG
Molecule: long non-coding RNA, 1416 nt
Filed under: Coturnix japonica (Japanese quail)
Lineage: Eukaryota; Metazoa; Chordata; Aves; Galliformes; Phasianidae
Description: lncRNA (ENSCJPG00005002390.1)
Source: RNAcentral